ACCAGUAUCUCCUUACUAUCACUGAUAGUUUCACUGGGGGCCUGAAGAAGUAACUCUGCCUGACACAGGACACAGUAUGAAAGAUACUUCACGUAGACAUACUGGAAGAUGCUGGAGGAAGCCUAAGCCCAGAGAUUGAUUUAGGUCAAGUAGAAGGAGCCUUUGUGAUGGGUCUUGGCUAUUGGUUAAAGGAAUUCAUGGUUUAUGAUAAUGAUACUGGAAAGGCAUUGACAAACAGAACCUGGAACUACAAACCUCCUGGAGCCAAAGAUAUCCCUAUUGACUUCAGAAUACAACUGAGGAAAAAUGCUCCUAAUCCCGUUGGCGUUCUUUGUUCAAAAGCAACUGGUAAACCACCCUUGUGCAUGAGUAUUUGUGCUUUAUUUGCAAUACAGGAAGCGGUACUGGCAUCUAGACAAGCUUCAGCACACUC
This is a long non-coding RNA of Schistocerca cancellata (South American locust), 433 nucleotides long. RefSeq lists it as uncharacterized. The transcript has 4 exons. Lineage: Eukaryota; Metazoa; Arthropoda; Insecta; Orthoptera; Acrididae. The record is from RefSeq and is a predicted model, not a curated record.